AAACUUCUGCAGCUGCUGCAGAACCAAUGUGGAGAUCCAGAGGUCUUCUGACCUUCCCUGCACCUGCCACAGCCUCUCAAGUCCAGAUCAAAACCAGAUCAAGCCAGCCUCUCUUCUGCUCUUCGCAGUGUCUCACACUCCCCAGAAAGAGCCCUUGAAGUGCGGCAUGGGAGUCAGCUAACAGAUGGAUGGAAUUUUGAGGCUAAGGUCUGGCCAAGCCAGCUGCCGAGCACUUGCUGAAACUCCACACCUGAGGAGCGCCAAAAUCAAAUCCAUCUGUGUGAAAAACCUCCAGGGGAGGAUUGGGAGUCACUCUGGAUUAAGAGGAAGUCAGAUGCAUAAACUCGAGGUGUACAUGUAUGGUGAAUACAUCACCCUCCACCACUGGGCUGAUACUGGAGAUCAAUCCUAAGGCUGGGGACAGAGCUGAAAAUGAGUAAUAGUGGAAGAAACUUCCAAGAUCAAGUUCCUAGGCAGCCGGUGCUGGGUGGAGGAUGGUUACAAAGCUGGAGAGUUGCACUGACCCAUGAGCUGAAACAGCACUGCAGGAGGAAAAAUAGUCUGGAAAAAUCAGCUGCUUGUAUGAAAUGUCUAACAGUAUCUGAUCCAGUUUCAUAAGGACUAUUAUUGUAAUCCUUUCAGGAACUCAGGGCUCCAACCCCAUUUGUUGAAAAAAUAAAGUGAUGAAAGCCGACAUGAAGCAGGAUGAUUCUCAGUCUUUCAGUAGCCAUGUAUGCCAUUAUGAAAGCAUUAUGUUAAGGGUGUGGGCGCAUUUCUUUGGGCUGAAAGCAGCUUCAGCUGACUGCUGCUCUGAUGAGGAGAUGAACCGAUAAUGUUUCACUCUCAGUAUUUCAUAUACA
Long non-coding RNA from Carassius auratus (goldfish), 860 nucleotides. RefSeq lists it as uncharacterized. NCBI's taxonomy places the organism in Eukaryota, Metazoa, Chordata, Actinopteri, Cypriniformes, Cyprinidae. The record is from RefSeq and is a predicted model, not a curated record. The transcript is spliced from 3 exons.